This 335-nucleotide RNase P RNA is filed under the name Bulleidia sp. zg-1006. RNAcentral's name for it is "RNase P RNA component class B". It matches the Rfam family "Bacterial RNase P class B". From Rfam's summary of the family: Ribonuclease P (RNase P) is a ubiquitous endoribonuclease, found in archaea, bacteria and eukarya as well as chloroplasts and mitochondria. Its best characterised activity is the generation of mature 5'-ends of tRNAs by cleaving the 5'-leader elements of precursor-tRNAs. Cellular RNase Ps are ribonucleoproteins. The record is from RNAcentral. RNAcentral also lists the same sequence under 1 other name. Lineage: Bacteria; Bacillati; Bacillota; Erysipelotrichia; Erysipelotrichales; Erysipelotrichaceae.
UACAGAAGGCAGUCGCUGCCUUUUUAGGUAGAGGAAAGUCCAUGCUCGCACCAUCUGCGAUGAUGGUAGUGUUUGUGCUGAUCGAAUCAAUAAGGUCAGGUAUCUUCGGAUAACGGCGGAGCAAUAUAGUCUAAGGAUUUAUCUAUGACUUGAGCCCUUAAGGUGUCACAGUGACGUAGUUCUUUUUGAAAGAAAAGAAGUGGAACGAGAUAAACCCCACAAGCGAGAAACCCAAAUUUGGUAGGGGAAUUUUCAACUUUGAAUUGAAAAAGAAGGAAGGUAGAAAUACAGAUAAAUGGCUGCACUGGCAACAGGACAGAACAUGGCUUAUGCAU